RNAcentral lists this ribosomal RNA (253 nucleotides) under uncultured bacterium. RNAcentral describes it as "partial 16S ribosomal RNA". It matches the Rfam family "Bacterial small subunit ribosomal RNA", at positions 524 to 776 of the family's 1533-position model. The record is from RNAcentral.
UACGGGGGGGGCAAGCGUUGUUCGGAAUUACUGGGCGUAAAGGGCUCGUAGGCGGCCAACUAAGUCAGACGUGAAAUCCCUCGGCUUAACCGGGGAACUGCGUCUGAUACUGGAUGGCUUGAGUUUGGGAGAGGGAUGCGGAAUUCCAGGUGUAGCGGUGAAAUGCGUAGAUACCGGGAAGAACACCAGUGGCGAAGGCGGCUACCUGGACAGGUACUGACGCUGAAGCGCGAAAGCUAGGGGAGCAAACAGG